GACGAACGCUGGCGGCGUGCUUAACACAUGCAAGUCGAACGGAAAGGCCCUGCUUUUGUGGGCUGCUCGAGUGGCGAACGGGUGAGUAACACGUGAGUAACCUGCCCUUGACUUUGGGAUAACUUCAGGAAACUGGGGCUAAUACCGGAUAGGAGCUCCUGCUGCAUGGUGGGGGUUGGAAAGUUUCGGCGGUUGGGGAUGGACUCGCGGCUUAUCAGCUUGUUGGUGGGGUAGUGGCUUACCAAGGCUUUGACGGGUAGCCGGCCUGAGAGGGUGACCGGCCACAUUGGGACUGAGAGACGGCCCAGACUCCUACGGGAGGCAGCAGUGGGGAAUAUUGCACAAUGGGCGGAAGCCUGAUGCAGCAACGCCGCGUGCGGGAUGACGGCCUUCGGGUUGUAAACCGCUUUCGCCUGUGACGAAGCGUGAGUGACGGUAAUGGGUAAAGAAGCACCGGCUAACUACGUG
This 468-nucleotide ribosomal RNA is filed under the name uncultured bacterium. RNAcentral's name for it is "partial 16S ribosomal RNA". It matches the Rfam family "Bacterial small subunit ribosomal RNA", at positions 28 to 507 of the family's 1533-position model. The record is from RNAcentral.